UACGCAGGGACCAAGCGUUGUUCGGAUUUACUGGGCGUAAAGAGCGCGCAGGCGGUCGUACAAGUCGCGUGUGAAAGCCCCCGGCUCAACUGGGGAGGGUCACGCGAUACUGUUCGACUCGAAGGCAGGAGAGGGUAGUGGAAUUCCCGGUGUAGUGGUGAAAUGCGUAGAUAUCGGGAGGAACACCAGUGGCGAAGGCGACUACCUGGCCUGUUCUUGACGCUGAGGCGCGAAAGCUAGGGGAGCAAACGGG
RNAcentral lists this ribosomal RNA (253 nucleotides) under uncultured bacterium. Its description in RNAcentral is "partial 16S ribosomal RNA". It matches the Rfam family "Bacterial small subunit ribosomal RNA", at positions 524 to 776 of the family's 1533-position model. The record is from RNAcentral.